CUACAGAGAAGUGUGGAGCCCACGGAGAAAAUGGAAUCCAUUUAGCCCCAUGUGUGGUGCACACCUCUAAUCCCAGGACUCUGGGAAGCUGAGGCAGGAAGAUUGCAAGUUCAAGCCCAGCCUGGGGAACUUAGUGACUUCAGGAGACUCUUCAGGAAGGCAAGGCUGGAGGGCUGUAUAGCGACGGCCUCUUGCCUUCUCUGCUGCAGGAAACUAGAGUCACCUGGUCUCCUUGGUCUUGAGCUGGGCAAAGUCUUCGGUGGG
Molecule: long non-coding RNA, 264 nt
Filed under: Heterocephalus glaber (naked mole-rat)
Lineage: Eukaryota; Metazoa; Chordata; Mammalia; Rodentia; Bathyergidae
Description: lncRNA (ENSHGLG00000049964.1)
Source: RNAcentral